UAAGGAAUAUUGCUCAAUGGGAGAAAUCCUGAAGCAGCAACGCCGCGUGGAGGAUGAAGGGUCUAUGACUUGUAAACUCCUGUAAAGAAGGAAAAAAUUCCCAUUAGAUGGGAGAUGAUGGUACUUCUGGAGUAAGCCCCGGCUAACUACGUGCCAGCAGCCGCGGUAAUACGUAGGUGGCAAGCGUUGUCCGGAUUUACUGGGUGUAAAGGAUGCGUAGGCGGAUACUUAAGUCAGAUGUGAAAAUCCCGGGCUUAACUUGGGAACUGCAUUUGAAACUGGGUAUCUAGAGUGCGGGAGAGGAAAGUGGAAUUCCUAGUGUAGCGGUGAAAUGCGUAGAGAUUAGGAAGAACACCAGUGGCGAAGGCGACUUUCUGGACCGUAACUGACGCUGAGGCAUGAAAGCGUGGGGAGCAAACA
Molecule: ribosomal RNA, 420 nt
Filed under: uncultured bacterium
Lineage: Bacteria
Description: bacterial SSU rRNA
Rfam family: Bacterial small subunit ribosomal RNA
Source: RNAcentral